GGAGUUGUAGCUUAUCAGUUAGAGCAUCGGACUCACGACUUGAAGGUCGGGGGUUCGAUUCCCGAUCCCA
Molecule: non-coding RNA, 70 nt
Organism: Macrostomum lignano
Lineage: Eukaryota; Metazoa; Platyhelminthes; Macrostomidae
Source: Rfam